This 448-nucleotide ribosomal RNA is filed under the name uncultured bacterium. Its description in RNAcentral is "bacterial SSU rRNA". It matches the Rfam family "Bacterial small subunit ribosomal RNA", at positions 329 to 792 of the family's 1533-position model. The record is from RNAcentral.
GGCCAGACUCCUACGGGAGGCAGCAGUGGGGAAUAUUGGGCAAUGGGCGCAAGCCUGACCCAGCAACGCCGCGUGAAGGAAGAAGGCUUUCGGGUUGUAAACUUCUUUUGACAGGGAAGAGCAGAAGACGGUACCUGUCGAAUAAGCCACAGCUAACUACGUGCCAGCAGCCGCGGUAAUACGUAGGGAGCAAGCGUUAUCCGGAUUUACUGGGUGUAAAGGGCGCGUAGGCGGGAUGGCAAGUCAGAUGUGAAAUCCAAGGGCUCAACCCUUGAACUGCAUUUGAAACUGUCGUUCUUGAGUACUGGAGAGGUUGACGGAAUUCCUAGUGUAGCGGUGAAAUGCGUAGAUAUUAGGAGGAACACCAGUGGCGAAGGCGGCUUACUGGACUGUAACUGACGUUGAGGCUCGAAAGCGUGGGGAGCAAACAGGAUUAGAUACCCCAGUA